This 253-nucleotide ribosomal RNA is filed under the name uncultured bacterium. Its description in RNAcentral is "partial 16S ribosomal RNA". It matches the Rfam family "Bacterial small subunit ribosomal RNA", at positions 524 to 776 of the family's 1533-position model. The record is from RNAcentral.
UACAGAGGGUGCAAGCGUUGUUCGGAAUUACUGGGCGUAAAGCGCGUGUAGGCGGCGUGGUAAGUCCUGUGUGAAAGCCCUGGGCUCAACCCAGGAAGUGCGCAGGAUACUGUCAUGCUGGAGUAGCGGAGAGGAUGGCGGAAUUCCCGGUGUAGAGGUGAAAUUCGUAGAUAUCGGGAGGAACACCUGUGGCGAAGGCGGCCAUCUGGACGUUCACUGACGCUGAGACGCGAAAGCGUGGGUAGCAAACAGG